This 71-nucleotide transfer RNA is filed under the name Loxodonta africana (African savanna elephant). It matches the Rfam family "tRNA". Rfam says of the family: Transfer RNA (tRNA) molecules are approximately 80 nucleotides in length. Their secondary structure includes four short double-helical elements and three loops (D, anti-codon, and T loops). Lineage: Eukaryota; Metazoa; Chordata; Mammalia; Proboscidea; Elephantidae. The record is from Rfam by way of RNAcentral.
ACAGUGAUGGUUCAGUGGUAGAAAUCUCAUCUUCCACGUGGGAGACCUGGGUUCAAAUCCCAGCCAAUAUA